This 18243-nucleotide long non-coding RNA is filed under the name Medicago truncatula (barrel medic). RNAcentral describes it as "long non-coding RNA (MTRU_LNC000372)". The record is from RNAcentral. Lineage: Eukaryota; Viridiplantae; Streptophyta; Magnoliopsida; Fabales; Fabaceae.
AUAAUAUGAAGAUGAUCGAGGAACAUCCUAACUUAUGUCAAACUCAUGCCGAGUGCAUCAAGAAGGGAAGUGGGAACUUUUGUGCUCGUUAUGCUAAUGCUGAUGUCGAAUAUGGGUGGUGUUUUGCCUCUGUAGCCGAAGCAGAACGGUACUUCAAAAUUGGAUCAAACACUGCAGUAAAAAGUUUGUUCAAGAUUGCCUCUAAAUCUAAAGAACAAGACUACCUUAAGAUGGCUUUGGAAAUUGCCACUUAAGAAUGAUAUGUCUAAAACCAACCAUGCAUUAUCAUGCAUGUACUACUUUAAAUAAAACAACCUUUGUUUCCAAUUUAUCAAUUGGAUUUCUUGAAUAUCCGUUUGGAUUUUGAUAAAAAAAUGCAUGUGCAUGGGUGUGGUAUUGUAAUAAAAAAGUAUUGUAGUGUUACUUUGAAAAUAAUGCUUUGACUCCUACAUUACUCGUUCUUUUAAUUUUGCACGUUAUAACUUGUUUUAAUUUAGUUCUUACAAUGUUUAAAUUUCAUUUUUAUAUGGAGCCAAACAUAAAAACAAUUCAGGUUACAAAUCAUGAAAGAGGCCGUUAAAGGACAAAUACUUUCGUAAUAAAAUACCUUAUGUUUGGUGGUUGAAAAUGGUUGAAAUGUGAUGAAUUUGACCAAGAAAGCACGAAGUUAGAUGGUUUCCAUGUUGAAUGUUAUGGGAAAAAAGAAAAAGAAAAAAAAAUGGAGCUUUUAUUAGCAGAUAGAGAGCGCCAACACAAAUCAAAUUCGGUAGCCAUUUUUUGUCUGCGUUGCGGUAUUAUCUCAUCCCGUAAACCAUGGUCGCCGAUGUGGAGUACUUUGGCUUGGAGUAAUUUAGUGGCUAGAUUCAUUCACAUUAUGCGUGGAGAAAUGGAGAAUCUGGGGUUCAAACCCCAACCCUUACACAUAAUGUCUUUGAUAGCUAUUAAUUGAGCUACACUUACGAGAUUUCCAGAGUUAUAUUUCCGCAAUUAAACAAUCUUAGUUUUCACUCAUCAGCUGCCUCAUUUAUUUGUUACUUCCACUAAGUUGUCAUUUAUUUGUGAGAUCUCAGGACUGUUUGUAACAAUGAUUUACCCGAUUCUAUUCUCUCUUUGACGCUGAUGAUGAUGAUUGCGCUAAGCCCUUUUCAGAUUUUAACAAGAUGAAUACUUUGAUCAUUGAAUAUUGUAGAGUUCUGAACCGAUAAAUUCUUUGUAUAUCAAAAUACAACACACACUUGUUAAUUUAACUAUAUCUGGAAACGGAUAUUAUCACGAAAGUUACAAAUGCAAAUUAACUGCUCCGCCUCCGAGUAUUUGUAACUUUGCUUUUCUGGAUACUCCAAGUCAAAAACCAUGUCACAACAAUCUUUGUUCCUUUAAAACAUUGGUGUCAUGUUGGAAGAAAAAUUGAAAGAUUAAAAUUAUACUUUGAUAUAGUUGUGUGAAUUGAAAAAGUAAAGUGUGGGUCUCACAUAAAAUAGAACACACCGUAAUGUUUAAAUUUCGGUAUUUAAUUUUAAAUGCUUGAUAAUGAUAAAAAUAAUAGUAAUUAUUAUUUUUAUUCGUGAAUAUCACUUCCCAUAAUUAAAUUUAGCUUAUGGUGAUUGUGCUAAGAAUAUGAAUAUGAAUAAGAAUUUAAUUGAAUUUCUUAUAUUUACUUCGUUCAAAUCCAAUGAAUUUGUUUCCUCCACUUUUGUGGAUUUGUUUCUUUUUGAUCCUAUCUACAAGUGUUGUUGAACUGAUUAAUGGAUAAGUUCCUUUUUAAUCUUAUCCAUUAGAGUAAUUGUUGCCGCAAUUUUUGCUAAAACAGUUACAAAAUCUCUAUAUAAAUAGAGGACUCUCACUUGGUUAAAAAAAAAUUACACCAAAGAGUUUCUAUGCCCCGAGAAAGGUCUGUUGCGGGCUAUCAUUUGUAUCUUAAGGUAGUUCAGUUUGAGUUGUCGAGAACUCUUUCUCUCUUCACCAUAUAUAACUUGUGUUCACGAGCUAUUAUUCUCCUCAUUUCCUUUUUCCGCCCCUUCAAAAAUAAGAGUAUUCGUAAGACCUUAAUCCCUAUUCGGAAUAAUGUCCCUUCAGAAUUAAGAAAUGUUAAAAACAUAGUCUCUUCGAUAACAUAUGUCCCUUCGAAAUAAAUAAUACUUUUAAGAUCAUACUCCCUAUUUGAAAUAAUAAUGUCAUGUGGAAAUUAAGAAUGAUCUUAACGGUAUAUAAAUAUUAUUUUAAUAUUUUUCUACUUGAGAGGAAAAAUAAAAAAUCGAAAUGGUAGAAUCACCAUAUUUGAGGGGUCGUAGUGCCAUAUUGAUAUAUUGGAGAACUUAAAGGUUAGAAUGGUGGUAAUAAUACAUUUUUAAAGUGGUUUAAGUAUUAAAAGAAUAGUCUUUGCACCAUAUUGGAGGUGUAAAUCUCGAAUGGUUUUCUACAGUGUAGCAGUUAACCACCCAUUUGUAGUUGAGCUUGUUUUAUCCUGGAGGCGGUGUGGUUGAUAGUCUGUCUUGCACAACUUUGGACAGUGCCACGAAACGUCUUAAAGAGAGCGACCUAGUCGUGAUUCAACCUAGUAACAACUUCGGUAGAUAUUCCUUUUUAAAAUAGAAUUUGAAAAUCCAAAUACAACGGUUUGUAAAUCAAAAAACAACAAUUUUAAGACGUUUCAGACUGCUAUGUCUACCAAAGAAUUUACUCAUUGAGGUUUCGUUGUCCGUAAAUACAAGGAUAAAAAACGCUAGAAAUACAUAUAUAUACUGAACUUUAUGAAGUGAUUCUUGUUAUAACAACAACAAUAAGAAAUUCACAGAUGCGAUUUUGAAUAUGUUUGAAAUUUAUUUUCAAAAAUCAGAACCGCACUGUGAAUAAAUAACUAUAAUUGCCAAGAGAAUAUGAACCCCAAAAAGAUCCUAUAUUGGAAAUCAGGAGCCCCCAUUAAGAAAUGGCAUGGUUGAAUACAAUUGUGAGAAACCAUGUCAUAUGUCCCGCAAGUAUAUAAACAAGUAAAUUUCUACUUUGCUGCCUAACCUAACGAAAGAGAAAUUCACUGAUAUGACUAGUUAAGGGCCCGUUUCUUAUAGCUUUUUUUAAAAUAGAUUUUGGUAGUGUAAUGUGAUUUUGUUAUAAUUUUUUUAACAAAUAAAUUUUCAAUGAAAGAUUCAAAUGAAAAAUCCAUUUGAAUAGUUUAUCUUAAAAUGUCAUUCUAAGUAUUUCAUCAUUUGGUUAUAAUUUUUUUUAAUACUAAAAUUUUGAAAAAAUCUGUAAAAAAAUAGCUUUUCAUAAAAAUCAUUUUUGAAAGAUGUCAUUUUGAAAAAAUAUGUGAUUUUUACUAUGUAAAAUCUCGAGCAAUGAAUAUUUAAGUUAGUGAAUGUCAAAUGAGUUUGAAAUAACUUAUACUAUUUUUGAGUAAAUUUAAAAAAAAAAAAAAUCAAUUUUUAAAAAUACAAAGGAAAAUCCAUUUUUCUAGAAUCUAAAACAAACAGGCCCAAAUCAUUCUAGUUUGUGAAUUAAGUGAAUGGUGGAUAAACACUAGUGCAUAACGCCAAGUUUGUUAUGAUUAUGUGAUGUUCAAAACAUAUGCUACUGCUGAGAAUAAGAAAAUGUUGUUAUAAUAUUAUAACAUCAUUAAGGUCAUUGACAUUGGAGAUAUGAAGUUGUAAUUCACAUCCGAAAAGAAAAUUAUUCUCUAGGACGUAAUGCAUGCUCCAAAAAUAAGAAAGAAUCUAAAUUUCAGAUUUUUACUGAAUAAGAUUGAGCUGACUCAGACAUAAAGAUUGAAAAAUUAUUUAAUAAGAAAAACAAUAAUCUCGUGGUGAUAGAAGCACAUAAUCCCCACAUUUUCAAUGAGUUUUCUUUAUAGUACACAUUUAUUCAUGAAACAAAUGCAUCUUAUUAUCCUGAAAUGAACGGUAAAGCAGAAAAGAAAAAAUUAGAAUCUUUACCGAGGCAGUUGUUUAAAUCAUGUUCAAUUUUGGUAUUGUAUCUCAUUGGUGAGGGAAAUUUUAUUAAUUGUUUGAUAUGUUCUAAAUAGAGUACUCAAGUCUAAGAACAAAAUUUCUACUUAUGAAGUUUUGACGAAAAGACAAUUCAACUUGUUUUAUUUUUGAAGUUGGGAUUGUCUGGAGCUCAAGAGAGUUGAACUCGCUAGUAGUUAUGAAAAUAUCGUAUGAGAUGUUAUAGAACCUCAAAGAGGUAAUAAAGCUAUAAUUGUUAAAGAAUAUAAAUCUAAUUAUAUGGUUUGUAUAAUUGAAGAGGAUCCAUUUGGCCUUCAAGAAGCUUUGUCUUCAUUGGAUGCAAACUCUUCAUCGGUUGAUUUCUUAACGCUCACUCUUUUAUUGAGUUAAAUCAACGUAAGUCCCACCACUACACCGUUGUUUCACGAGGGGAGUCUGGGGGACCGACCACAUCGUGGCUAGAACAACCGCACAAGUAAGAGAGACACCACACUCUUACCCAAAACCUUAAGACAAUGGGUUUAUGGGUCCUCUUACUUAUAAGGUGUUCAACCUUUACUUUUCUAUCCGAUGUGGGAUAUAUAACUUACACUUGCACACAACAACAAACACUUGGGUGCAAUUUUUAAAGUGUAGGAACCAUGUUAAUUUCAUUCAAUAAAAGAGUGAGGGUUAAAGAGACCGUUGAAAAAAAGAGUGUUAGCAUCUUUCAACUUCUAAAAUAUUUAUGUUUCUGGUUUGGUUUUUUGCCUCCUAUGUUUUUGUUUCCCUUGGUCGCUGUGGUUAUAACUUAAUAUCAAUGGAUGAAUUACAAAUCUUUUGCGUAGAGAAACAAAUUUUACUUGUAUACUAAAAACAUGAUGGGAUCCGAUCUCAACUUAAGUGGAUGUUGUGUUGUAAGGAUUAUAUUAUUUCCUUGUAGUAUUGAAUGAAAAAUUGAUGGUGGUUUGAAAGAAAAAAAAAAAACUCUUUAGGUCAAUGAAGGUUUAUAUCAAGGGGAUUGACUAGGUAAUAACAAUGUAUUACGAUAAAUACUCUUACAGUAACCUUUGAAAAUUUAUUUAAUUUGGAGAGCACGGUUUGAUGUGGAUUAGAGUCUCAUGCAUCUUGAGCACGGUUUCUUGAGAUUGUUGUCAAUUAAGUGAGAACAAGUUAUUUGUCGUACAGUGUUUGCUAAUGCUUAGAUGCAUAACAAGUUUUUGUCGCAGUGUUUCUUCUUUUGUCUUCAAUUUUAUGCUUGUGCAUAUUUUCAUUUAUGUGUGUUUCAAUUUAAAAAUGUUUGUUCUCUUAUUUUUCUUUGCUAUUCUACAUUUUGUCCACUGUUGUGCUUUGGCCAGAAAUAUUUUCAAGACUUUUCCUUUUAUAUCUGUAUGUGCGUUCAUUCAAAACACAUUUUUCACCGCACCUAUCGAUUUGUUUAUAUCAUAUCUUUGUCUAUUUGUUCAAUUUUCAUAUCAAGUAUGUCUGGUAUUCAAGUUGGAUUUGCACAACCAUUAUUCUGUCCCCGAUGUGCUUGUUAUUUGAGUGUCCAGUUUGUAGAGUUUCGAUUAGUCAUGUAAGGAAGGGAUUUAAGAUUGUGGAGAUGAUAAUACCGAAACCGAUGGGAAAAGCAUUGCAUGAAAACCACUUGCUUCACCUUCUGGUCUUUAACUCUUAGGUAUAUGCUCUUGAAACUGUUUCUUGUCGAGGUUAACAAACUCUGGUUUUAUUUAUCACUGCAAUAGUUAAGCUUCUAAGUGAGUUCGAACCAAAAGAAACUCUUGAUAGAAUCUUGCCCUCUCCAACAAGUCGGCUCUAGUUUUCUCUCUCUAGGUUUUCUUUUACAAUUUCUUCAUUGAGGGGUGGUUUUGAGUCAAUUCUUGACCUGAAAUCAUCUCUCUUCAUCUUUUCCUCUUUAUUUCAAUCUAAAUAAGUGAUUUUCACAAAGAUCUAGGUUUUUUUUUUCUUUGUAAUUUCAUUAUCUAAGUGUGGUGAUUUUGUUGUUCGUUGUCUUGUGCGGCGUUGUUUGAUUUCCCGUCUUCGUGCGGUGUUCAUUUGAUUCAUAUUGAAAGAUCGAUUGUUCAAUCAAAGAUUUGAGCGUCAACGUUGCAGAUCCGGAGGCAAUGGAUAUUCUAGUCACUUUAAUUUCAUCAUAUAUUUUUGUAGGCAUUAUGCCGUUAUAUGCUAUUAACUUGGAUGUUGUGAGUUUGUUCUUAGAUUCAUCCUUUACGUUUUUAGCGAUGUUGAAUGAUGUAAUCUCUCGAUUUGAAUGAAUGAAUAUCAUUUUAUUUUUGUCAAUUUUUUUUUUUUUUAUCAUGCAUGGAUAAAGCAAGUAAUUAAAUGAACUAUUAAAGUUUUGUUGUUACUCUGAACAGCGAACGAUUUAAUGUUGUAUAAUAUUUUUUCAUGGAUAAGGUCUUCAACUACAUUGUUUUUGCAGCCAAAAUUCCAAGACAUGAAGAACUAUGCAGAUUUAAAUAUAUAAGUACAAUGAUUCUCUUCUAUCUUCGUGGUGUUACGUCUACAUUUUAAUAUAAAUGAAAGGUAGAGUUCCAAUAUUUAAACCCAAAUACAUUAAUCUUCUAGUUGAUUUUAUAACAUUGUAAUAAAACCAUAAAUACAUUUUAAUAUAAAUAAUCAAAUAUACCUACUAAUAUAACCCUUUAUUAAACAAUGAUUUACAACAUUAUACACAUAAAAAUAAAAAUCAGAAAAUUAUGUAAUUCGAAAUUUUUUUGGAUUAAAAAAAUUGUCUAAUACUCUUAAAAACUUUUAUAUAUAAGAUAGAUAAUAUAUAUAUAAAAAAAAAAUCUUGCCAAGGAAAUUUGCAGCGAUUUUUCAUGGCCAAAAAAAGUUGCCAAGACUUAGGCCCUGUUUGGAUAAACAGCUUAUAUAGAUGCUUAUAGCAUUAGUGCUUAUAACAUUAGAGCUUAUAUCAUAAGCUAUUUAUGUUUGGAUAUGUACACUAAAAAGUACUUACAUAAAUUGAAGUGUUUGGAUGUGACAUUACAUAAACAAUUAUAGAAAUUUUAAAUAUUUUUAAUUUAAUAAAAAAAUCAAAGAAUUGAACCACAAUUAUCAAGAUUUUUUUUGAUAAAAUUAAUCAAGGCGUAAAAAAACAUUAUUAUAAUAUAUUAAUUAUAAUUAUAUAUAUAUAUAUAUAUAUAUAUAUAUAUAUAUAUAUAUAUAGAGGUAUAAUCAAUAUUAGUCCUUAAAAAAAUAUCAAUAUUCACAUAAGACAAAAUUAACAUUAGAGGUGUAAAUAAACAUAUCAUACAUAUAGAUAUUAGUGUGCAGUUUGUUACCAAAAAAAGACAAGUUAAAUUUGUUUUUUUAUUCAGUUUCAUUUUGUUACGUAACAAAAAAAUAAUAAAAAUCUUCUUUAAAAAAAUAAAUAAAAAUCUUAGUUACGUGUGUUACUUCAAUAAGAUAAGUAUAUAGCAAUUUUGUUACUCAUGCACCGCCAAAGAUAACUAACAUUAUAAUUAAAAUAUUCUUAAAAAAAAAUAUAAUUAAAAUAUAUGUUUUGAAAAAGUGGAUCCAGAGAGAAUCGAAUGAGGUUACAUAAAUUCAUAAGCUCCUUGUUAAGCCAGAUGGUAAGCUGAAAAUUUAGGCUUAUUAAAAUAUGACAUAAGCAACUUAUGAAACUAUGAUAAACUAUUUUUAUUUAUUUAUCCAAACACCUUUAAAAAGGCUUAUGGGAAUAGAUAAGCCCACAUAAGCUCAAAAUAAGCCAAUUCAAACGGGGCCUUAAUAACUAUUAUAUAUAAGAUAUGGGACGCAUAAUUAAACGAAACAAAAAUUUAGAAAGAAAUUGGGAACAACUUUUUUUGACUUCAAAAAGUUGUCUAAGAUACUUAAGAAUUAUGUAUAUAAGAUAUAACAUCUUUUAAAAAUUAGGAAGAAAAUUUGCAAUAACCUUUUUGGCUCCAAAAAGUUGUGUAACAGACUUAAGAACUUUAAUAUAAAAGAUAUAUGAAAUUUUUUUAAAAAAAUUAGGAAGGAAAUUUGCAACAAAUUGUUUGCCUCCAAAAAGUUAUUUAAAAGACUUAAAAACUUUUAUAUAUAAGAUAAGAUAAGAUCUAAUGAUUCUAUUCAAUCUUACUAGUGCGACGUCUAUGUUGUGCUGUUUGAUGUUUUGGUGCGGUGUUGUUUUGUUUUCUCGUCUUGUUGUGAUGUUUAUUUGCUUCAUUUUGUCAUAUUAUGUUCGAUCUAAAUUAAGUUAAUGACUUUUACGUCGUUAACGUUAAAGAUCCAAAAACAUGAAUAUUUCAAACAUUUUAAUUGUCAUAUUUGCAAGCUUUGUCACAUUUGUAAACAUGUUGUUGCUGUAUUCUAUUAAUGUGAAUAUUUAUUUUUGAUGAAAGGGAAUGAAACAAUUUUAACUUUAUUCCCUUUUAAGAUACCACAAAAUUGUUAAAUAUCACCAUCAAGCCAUCUCAUAUAUUCCUUUUUCCAGACAAUUAACGCAGUAAUAUAAUAUACUAAGGGUUUAACGCCCUCUUUGAAUUAUUUGUUUUAUUUGAUUAUUUUAUUGAGUUUAGAGUCCUUUUGAAUAAUUUAUUUGAUUUAUGAUGAUGUGUGUUAUUUUUGUGUUAUAGGUUGGUGUUUUAGUAGCAUAUUAUAUUAUAAUAUAUAUUAUUUGGUGUAGAGAUAUUAUAUUAUUUGUUGGUAUAAUAUAUAUAUAUAUAUAUAUAUAUAUAUAUAUAUAUAUAUAUAUAUAUAUGUUAUUUGGUGUAGAAAUAUAUUAUAUUAUAUUAUAUUAUCUAGUGUAGAAAUAUAUUUGUUAUAAAGAUAUAUUUGUUAUUGUUUAUAGAAAUAUUUUAUAUUAUAUAUAUUAGAAUAUAAUAUUGAGACUAGUAGAAUAAGAUUUGAAAAUUAAAUAAAUAUUGAGUUUAUGGGUUGUUAUGAGAUUUGAGAGAGUUUUGGGGGAGAAAGAGAAAUAAGAUAAAAUAGAAAAAAGGGUUAUAAAUAGGAGAAACCUAGUUUAGAAAAAACAUAACAUACGAUCAAGUUUGGAGAAAAGGGAGAACAAGAGAAGAGAAGAGAAGAACCAAGAGAGAGGAUGCCAAUCGAUUAACCUAAGGUAAGGGUGGGACUAACAUUCAAUAAUCUUGAGUCUAUGAUUCUGAAAAUUGUAUUUAACAUGUUGUAGGUUUAGUUUUUGAGAAUUUGAGAAUUAGGGUUAAGAGUGAUGAUUCUGAAUGAAAAAUAAUAUAGGUUGCUUUUUCUGAUUUUUCUUUUCAUCUCUGCCCCGAAUUUGAAAUAAAAACUGGUAUUGAUCAGUACAGAAUUGGUCUUAGGUGUAAACACGAAAGUUGUAGGUAUGGAUGUUAGCUUUCUAGUGCCGUUGGUUUGACUUCAAAAGGAUUUAUAGAACUUGAGUUAUAGUCAAAUUACUGCACGUAGGUCACAGUGAAUAAUUGAAUAUGAUUGAUGAAUUAGUAUAUGUAUGUAUAUGUUUGUGAAUACGAUAUUGUUCAUGAUUGAUGAAGUAUUAUAUGAAUGUAUAUAUUUAUGAGUAUGAUGUUGUUUAUGAUUGAUGAAUUAGUUAUGAAUAUUAAUUAUAAUAUUAAUGAAGAUCUGUGAAGCUGAUUUAUGAUGAUUUGAUGUUGUUAUAUUGUGAUAUAAUUGUAUAUGCAUUAAUUAGAUUAUCUGUGAAUAAUUGAGACGUUGAUUGACUUGCAUUUGAUAUUAUUAUGUCAUGCUGUUUUUGUAUACUGCUGUGUCGCUGUUGUUAUUUAACAAAGCUGCAUGAGUCGGUCUAAGUUGAUUAAGAUGAUGAAGUUCCAAAUUAUUGGAUUAUAUAAGAGGUUGUCGAUUUAAGAUGUUUAAGAAGUAAAGGCCAUGCAUUAGCAUUUCAGCGAUAGGGGCUUGAUGCUCUAGAGUAUAUUAAUACGCAAAUAGCGAUAGGGGCUUGAUGCUUUGGAGUAUAUUAAUACUCAAAUAGCGAUAGGGGCUUGAUGCUCUGGAGUAUAUUAAUACUCAAAUAGCGACGGGGCUUGAUGCUCUGUAUUGGUACCACAUGCAUAUAGAAGGUCUAAGUUGCAUAGUCAAGUCGGAGUCGCAUUUGUUGAGUCAAAGUCGUUGUUGAUGAAUUAUCAUCCAUGAGUUGUUAUGAAGUUGUUGAGUUGUUUUCUAUCCAUGUGUCGUUAAUGAAGUACUUAUGAAUAAUUAUGAUUAUGACAUCGUUAUGUUGUUUAUGAUAUUGAUUUUGAUGAUGUUUACGAUGUGAUGUUUAAGUUGUCAAGUUGUUGAAGUUGUGAUUCUUUAUAUGAACUAUUAAAGAUGUGAUAUAUGAUCUAUUAAUGUCUAUGAUGAAUAUUAUGAUGAUUUUAGGUUGUUAAAUAUAAUUGUUGAAUUAUAUGCUUAAUAUUAUUGUUAUGUGAAAUCUCACCCCUUCAAAAUGUUGCCCACCAUGGGUAACUUGCAGGUAACCAAGAAUAGUUGAUGUCGUGUGAGUUUUCUCUCUCGUGUGUCUUAGGUGCUCUGAUACGUAACGGGAUGAGAACUUUGUUAUUGCUUUUCUAUUCCUUACGUAUUGUUUUUGAAGAUUUAUGACUAUGUUUUUAGAUUGGAUUUUUAUGAGACAUUUAUGAAGAGGCCUUCGUGCCAAAGACUGUUUUAGUUAUUGAAUAAAUUCCGCUGCGAAGUAUUAAAGAUCUUGUAUUUGAAUUUUAAAGGAUAAAUAGUUAUUUAUUCAGUUUAUGAUUUUAAAAAAAGAAUGUGACAUUCCGUUAAAGUUGAAAAACUCUGAUUAUUUAUGCGAAAUUUUUAUGUUGGGAAAACGGGGUGUUACAAUUGAUGUUGUUGGAAUGACUUUAAGAGAUUUUAUGUUGAGGCCUUGGCGCCAAAGAUGUUUUAAAAGUUGAAUAAUUUCCGCUGCGAAGUAAUAAAUAUUAUGACGUUGAAUUUUGAAGGAUAAAUAGUUAUUUUAUUCCGUUUAUGAUUUUAAGAAAAGAAGUGUGACAUUCCGUUUAUGUUGAAAUACUCUGAUUUAUAUGUGAAAUUUUUAAGUUGGGAAAAAUGGGAUGUUACAAAAUUGACUUUUUUGAAAAGGUUGAUUGUUUUGUCAAUAAUAUAUCUGUUGAUGCCAUGUCAGCUAAUGUUCUGAUGGUGAACCACUAUAAGACUAAACUUUACCUUAUUACAAAUAACUCCUUAUACAAAAUAUUAAUUACUUUUGAUUUAUUUAUUAACUUAUUAUAUUUAAAAUUAAAUCAUUUAUUAAUUAAUGCAAAUCUCAUUGGCAAAUCUGGAUUAGCUAAGAACAAACGACCAUAAACAACAAGAUCUGCCUUAUUUCUGAGAUGUUGCCACAAGGAUGAACUUUUCACAUAAGCUAAUACAACUUGCAGCUGGCGUCUGGGCUCUUAGGGGGCGAGGUGUCCCACUAUCUUUUCAAUUGCGGAAGUGGGGCCCACUAAAUGUAGAAAAUAUAUAGGAUGUGUUUGGUAAAAAUAAGCUAUAAGCUAACUGAUAGCUGAAAAGCUAGCUUAUAGUUGAUGACUGAUAGCUUAUAGCUGAAAAGUUAACUUAUUAAAAUAAAAAGUGUUUGGUAAUAUUAGUUGUUGAAGAGCUGAUAAAUAUAAAAUUUCGUAAAAUGGUAUGAUUGUUUAUUUUUAUUUUUUUAUAAAUCAUAUAUACAAUUUUAAUUACUUGAUGUAUUUCUUUUUAAAUGUUUAAAUUUAUUUCAAAAUAUUUUCAUCUUCACAAUAAUAAAUGUGCUUUAUAAAUUCUAUAAAUUUUCAUUUUUUGAUGAGUUUUAUUUAACUAUACUUGCUUCAAUUUUUAUUUAUCAUAUAUUUUAUUUAAAAAUAAAUAUUAUAUGAAUUAAAAGGAUGGUCAUAAAAAAAGAGAACAACAUAAUAUAGAAAACUAUGCGUAACUAACUAGUAAGCUAAAAGUGAGGUUGGUUGCAUAAGCAAUAUGUGGGAACGUGGGGGUUUAUUUUUAUAUAAAAAUAAUAAAAUUAAAUUAACAAGGUUAAAACUGGAAGAAAUUAUAAGAAUCUAUAAGCUAUAAGUUUAAAAGCUACUUGAAAUAGCUUCUCAAAAAAAGCUAUAAGCUCACGAAAAAAGCUUGUUACCAAACACGUCACAUUUUGAUACAACAAGCUUAUAAGCUAAUUCAACAAGCUAUAAGCUAGCUUCUUGUUGUUACCAAACACAGGUUUGUUUGGUAAAAAGAAGCUAUAAGCUAGCUGGUAGCUGAUAGCUGAAAAGCUAACUUAUAGCUGAUGGCUGAUAGCUGAUAACUGAAAAGUUAGCUUAUUAAAAUAAAAAGUGUUUAGUAAAAUUAGUUGUUGAGUAGCUGAUAAAUAUAAAAUGACGUAAAAGGGCAUGUUUGUGUUUUUUUUUAUAAAUCAUAUAUAUAAUUUUUAAUACUUAAUGUAUUUCUUUUUAAAUGUUUAAAUUUAUUUCAAAACAUUUUCAUCUCCUAAAUGAUAAAUGUAUUUAUUAAUUCAAUUGACAAUUUUUAUUUAACAAAACUUCCUUUUCAUGAAUUUUACUCAACUAAACUUGCAUCACUAUUUAUUGUAAAUUUUAUAUAAAAUUAUCUAUCAUUGAAUUAAGAGCAUGUAAAAAGGAACGUGAACAAGAAAAAUUGAAAAGCCAUAUCAUGAUGCUAAACGUGGGCAGUUAUGGGUAGUUUUUUUAAUUAAAAUUAAAUUAAACUAAAUUAAUAAAAGGUUAAAUUUGGAAGAAAAUAUAAAAAGCUAUAAGCAAUAAGCUCAAAAGCUACUUGAAUUAGCUUAUCAAAAAACGCUAUAAGCUAAUGAAAAAAGUUUUUUACCAAACACGUCUCAUUCUACAAAAACAAGCUUAUAAGCUAGUCCAACAAGCUAUAAGCUAGCUUUUUUGUGUUACCAAACACAGCCAUAAUAGUUUUUGCAAGUUUAUAUUGUAACAGACUAUAUUUAUCUUUUACAAAGACAAUAAUAAUAUAACAUUUUUAUAUUUGAAUUUAUUUAAUGUUAUAAAAUAGGCUAAAUUGCAUUUUUGGUCCCUUAACUAUUUAGGUAGUAUCAUUUUGGUCCCUUAAUUAAAAUUCGAUUUAUUUUGGUUCCUUAACUUCUCUUCGUUACACAUUUUGGUUCUUUCCGUUAGUUUUAAUUCAAAAAUGUUAGGUUUUCUUCAUCUUCUUCUCCUCUUUUUCAUCUUCAUAUCAUCCCCGUCAACCUUCAACAACAAGAAUCCCAGAAGAAAAUGAAGAAAACCUAACGCUUUUGAAUUAAAACUAACGGAAAUGACCAAAAUGUGUAACGGAAAGAAGUUAAGGGACCAAAAUAAAUCAAAUUUUAAUUAAGGGACCAAAGCGAUACUACCUAAAUAGUUAAGGGACCAAAAAUGAAAUUUAACCUAUAAAAUACAUAGUAUAGAAAAUAAUAGGGAAAAUUACAUUUUUAAUCUCUUAACUUAAUUUCAUAUAACAGUUUAAUCCUUUAUCUUCUUUCAUUUCAAUUUUACCCUACUGAGCCUUUUGCAUAUUGAUUUCAAUUUCCUGAAUAUAUAUUAUUGUGGUAGUCAUAUAGGUUGUAUGCCUAGAUGUGAAUGUAUUAGUUCCAACUCUAACUGCCCUCGCCAUUUUGUAGUAAUAUUUCAGACGAAGAAUGUUGAAGCAGUGACUUGUCCGAAUUCGGGUUCCAUUUGUUCACCAUUUGAGAUGCCACCAUGUGGCAACGCCAAAGAUUGUCGUUAUAUCCCUUAUUUUUUAUUUGGAGGUAUUUUCCAAAGUCCAAGUGGUUCUGAACAUAAUAUGAAGAUGAUCGAGGAACAUCCUAACUUAUGCCAAACUCAUGCUGAAUGCUUCAAGAAGGGAAGUGGAAACUUUUGUGCCCGUUAUGCUAAUGCUGAUAUCGAAUAUGGAUGGUGUUUUGCCUCUGUAGCCGAAGCAGAACAGUACUUCAAAAUUGGAUCAAACACUGCAGUAAAAAGUUUUUUCAAGAUUGCAGUUUUUUCAAGAUUGCCUCUAACUCCAAAGAAAAAGGCUACCUUAAGAUGGCUUUGGAAAUUGCCACUUAAGAAUGAUAUGUCUAAAACCAACCAUGCAUUAUCAUGCAUAUGUACUACUUUAAAUAAAACAACCUUUGUUUCCAAUUGAUCGAUUGGAUUUUGAUAAAAAAUGCAUCUGCAUUGGUGUGGUAUUGUAAUAUAAAAGUAUUGGAAUGUUGCUUUGAAAGUAAUGCUCUGACUUGUACAUUACUCGUUCUUUUAAUUUUGCAGGUUAUAAUUUGUUUGCGGUUUUAGUUCUUUCAAUGUUUAAAUUUUAUUUUUAUAUGGAGCCAAACAUAAAAACAAUUCGUGUUACAAAUUGAGAAAGAGGCCAUGAAAGGAUGAGCUUUUGAAUGAAAUUUACAAGAACACAAGACUACAAGAUUGCGUAUAGAUCAUUUUUUUCUUAUAAUUUGAAGGUCAGCGAGUCUAAAGAGGUGAAGCUUAUGAGGACUCUCAUACUCUAAAGGCCAUGUCAGCAUCAGAAGCCUGUGACUGAUUUUCUCACUUAGAGUUUGUUACAAAUUUUAUAUCAUAUAAAUUCUUAAAUCUUUAGAGUCCAAUCUAAAUUGUAUUGAUUACAUCUCUGAUUGUAUAUCAAACUUAAAAUUCAAACAAUCUUUUAUUUUAGUGAGAGGAACUAGUAUAACCAUACAAUAUGAUUCCAACAACACUUCUACCUCCGAAAAAAAACAAUUAUUCAUCCUGACCUACAUCUUUAAAAUGUUUAAUAAGCAUGUAUUUUGUUAAAUUAACAUACUUCAUAUGGAUUUUUCCAUUGUCAAAUCAUUCCAGAGAUCAGACAUGAAUGAAUUUGAAAUGAUAGAGGUUGCAUAAAAAAUAGCAUGAAAGUAAAUGACAUCUAAAUACUAAUUUUUUUGAUAAAAUAAUUAAAUAAAUGACAUCCAAACCUUACCAAAGUAGUUCAUCUUAAUGUUAGAACGAUAGAUGAAGCCUACAUUAGGUUGGAUCACCGUAUUAGACUAAGAGUAACCACACAAGUUAUAUUGACACUACAUAUUCACUAAAAAUGUAUAAUAAACAUGUAUAUUGUUACCUCAUCAUAAAUUCAUAAUACAUCUACAAUUUUUUUAUAUUGUGAUCCCACCAAAGACCAAAAUAAAAAAAAUUUAAAAUAAUAAAAGUUAGACAAAGAUAUUGCAUGAAGGUGAAUGACAUCUAAAAACUUAUAUUUAAUUCUUUCAAAAAGAAAAAAAAACUUAUAUUUAAUAUAACAAAAUUAAGAAAAUGACAUCCUAAAACUAAAAAAAUUAUUAUAAUGUUUGGAUUUCAUAGGGAUCGUACAAUGGAUUGGAUCAUCACAUUUGAACAAGAGAAACCCCACAAGUAAGAUAGACACCACAUCUCUAUCUCAAACAUGAAGACAUUAGGUAUAUUGGUCAUCUCACAUAUAUGUUGCUCAAUAUAUACUCUUGCAUCAAAAGUAGAAGUGUAACUCACUAAUGACACAUUAACAUCUCUCUCAACAUCUACUUUUACAUAAAAUGUGAAAUUUUAACUCGCAUUUGACACAUUAUCAUCUCUGCAUUAGGUGUCAAACUCUCUCUGCCAGUGAUCGACACCAAGAACCACUCCCACUCCCCCAAAAUGUUGAACCGGGAUAUCAUGCAAUUGUUGUGCAUUAUGAGCGAGCCAACACCUAUGUAGAUCCACACGUUUUAAAAACAGAGACCACAUAAGUGAAAAUGAUACCACAUCUUCAUCCAAAAGGCUUAAGUAUGAUAUUUUUUACUUAUUUGUUGUUCAACCUGCACUCUUUUAUCCAAUGUUCGACUUUAAGUGACAUUUGUUCCAUCUGAAUUAUCUCUAUUAAGUAUGACGAAAUUUUAGCUCAUGUUUGGCACGGGUGUCCAUACUAGUUUCAUGUGAUUUGUAGAACCAAAACAUUUCCUGUGAUUUAUUUUCUUAAAAUAGGACUGUUCUAUUUCAUUGCUGCCACAUAUUGCAUUGCUACAAGGCUGUUCUAUUUCAUUGCUGCCACAUAUUCCAUUGCUGCGCAUGCAAGGCUGUUCUGUUUCAAAUUCAAACCACUUUGAAUUGUUUUGCCAUACCUGUUUCUUUAAUUUUUAGAAUCCAUCAAUUGAUAGGUAUAAUUUCUUUUUACUUAAUUUAAUAUGAACGCAUUGUUUACGAGUUUAAUGUUUAAUUUAAUCAUGCGUGAGUAGUUUUAAUUGAGUUCAAAAUGAAGGGACCGUUGUAUCGACGAAACUCAUGUAAAUUGCGCUCCCCUUUUAUUGUAAUGAGAAUUUACAUAUUUGUUUUGAAAUUUUUUGUCUUGCAAUUUAAAAAAUCUACUACGAAAGUAGAGACAUCGAGAUAUCGUUUACGUAUCGAAAGAACGAAAACGACAUCUAACUUAGAAAAAUUUGAAUUGAAAAGGUUAAAGCGAAAACGCUCCUUUUCUUUUAAUUAAGAACUUAUUGAAUUAAGAAAAGGGAUUUUUUAAGUUUUUAAGCAUGUCAUUAUACUCUGUCGAAAAAAAAAAAUGUAAUUAUACACUACCAAAUUGGUAGUUAUGAGUCUAAAAAAUCCGACAACCUAUUGCGAAAGCAAAUGGUGUCUCUUGUUCAAUAUUUUCUGCAAAAGUUUUUUACUCGUUACUGUUUAAUUAUCGCAAAGUUACUUAAGUGACGAAGGUCGACGGAAACCGUCGUUUUUGUCUCUAUCCUUAUUUUCAAUACUUUAUUUUUACAUGUAAAACCAUAUUAUUUUGAAAUAGUCUUAGAUAAGCAUAGGAACGACAAGAAGCGGUACUUGUUAAAUUGGUCUCUGUGGAUACGAUACUUUUUAUACUAAAACUAACAUAGUCGUACACAUGCGGCCCUAUUACUAUGAUCUUAUCCUAUAUUCUUAGAAAAAAUGAAUCAACAUUGUUGAAACAAAUGGAAAUUAACAUCUCUGUAAAAAAAAUUGCGGAAACAGAAUGCAUACAUUUAGAGAUAAAAAUAUUUAUAACAUUCUAUGAAAACACAAUAAUAAAGGGUAAUAUCAAGCUCAGAAAUUACAUGAAUUUGUUACGUUUGUCACAUUUACAUUGUCUACGUGGAAACCUGAUAUACUCAACCCGUGUUCUUGCUUGUCAAUUUAUAAUAAUGGAGCUGUAGUGUCAGCUAGUAAAUGCAUCGCUCUAUAAAUUGAUGCAUGCAACAAUGAACUAAUGCAACAACAAGAUAAGUUCAUAACAAAUAAUCCUUUCUUCUGAUCAAAUAAUGACUUAUGUUAACCUCAUUACUUUGGCUCUCUUCCUCGUUGCCACACUCAGUAUGUAUUUUUUUAAUGUGUAUUAGGUGUACACUGUUCUUAUUGCGUUGUUAAAGCGUAUAAAAACACACACACACACACACACAUAUAUAUAUAUAUAUAUAUAUAUAUAUAUAUAUAUAUAUUUAUUUGCUAAAACACACCCACUAGUUUUUAUGUGGGAGUGUUUUAGCAAGUUUAUAUAACUACUUUUUAGUUAUAACAUGCUAAAACACACCUUCUAAAAAAUAAGUGGGUGUAUCCUAGAAAAUGCCUAUAGGAGUUGCUAACAUACACCCACUUAUUUUUUAGAAGGUGUGUUUUAGCAACAUUCACCUUAAGGUGUAUUUAACAACUUUUUAGUUAUAUCUUUGCUAAAACACACCUUAAUAAAAAUCAGUGGGUGUAUCCUAACAAACCCCUAUAUAUAUAUUAUAAAUAAUAGUUUUUGCAAGUUUAUAUUAUGCCUAGAUGUGUAUGUAUUAGUUCCAACAUUAACUGCCCUCGCCAUUUUGUAGCAACAUUUCAGACGAAGAAUGUUGAAGCAUUGACUUGUCCGAAUUCGGGUUCCCUUUGUUCACCAUUUGAGGUACCAGCAUGUGGCAACACCAUAGAUUGUCGUUGUGUCCCUUAUUUUCUAUUUGGAGGUAUUUGCCAUAGUCCAACUUCUUCAUUGAACGAGUAACAUCCUAACUUAUGUCAAACUCAUGCCGAGUGCAUCAAGAAGGGAAGUGGAAACUUUUGUGCUCGUUAUGCUAAUGAUGAUAUCGAAUAUGGAUGGUGUUUUGCCUCAGUCGCCGAAGCAGAACGAUACUUCAAAAUUGGAUCAAACACUGCAGUAAAAAAUUUGUUCAAGAUUGCCUCUAAAUCUAAAGAACAAGACUACCUUAAGAUGGCUUUGGAAAUUGCAACUUAAGAAUGAUAUGUAUAAAACCAACUAUGCAUUAUCAUGCAUAUACUACUUUAAAUAAAACAACCUUUGUUUCCAAUUGAUCAAUUGGAUUUCUUGAAUAUCCGUUUGGAUUUUGAUAAAAAAUGCAUGUGCAUGGGUAUGGUAUUGUAAUAAAAAA